GUCGUAACAAGGUCUCUGUAGGUGAACCUGCGGAGGGAUCAUU
RNAcentral lists this ribosomal RNA (43 nucleotides) under Penidiella carpentariae. Its description in RNAcentral is "partial 18S ribosomal RNA". Lineage: Eukaryota; Fungi; Ascomycota; Dothideomycetes; Mycosphaerellales; Teratosphaeriaceae. The record is from RNAcentral.